RNAcentral lists this unclassified non-coding RNA (306 nucleotides) under plant metagenome. Its description in RNAcentral is "partial contains 5.8S ribosomal RNA, internal transcribed spacer 2, and large subunit ribosomal RNA". The stretch from base 1 to 105 matches the Rfam family "5.8S ribosomal RNA", at positions 50 to 154 of the family's 154-position model. The record is from RNAcentral.
GAAAUGCGAUAAGUAAUGUGAAUUGCAGAAUUCAGUGAAUCAUCGAAUCUUUGAACGCACAUUGCGCCCGCCAGUAUUCUGGCGGGCAUGCCUGUCCGAGCGUCAUUUCAACCAUCAAGCCCCCGGGCUUGUGUUGGGGACCUGCGGCUGCUCGCAGGCCCUGAGAACCAGUGGCGGGCUCGCUGUCACACCGAGCGUAGUAGCAAUCACCUCGCUCAGGGCGUGCUGCGGGUUCCGGCCGUUAAACAGCCUUACAAAACCCAAGGUUGACCUCGGAUCAGGUAGGAAGACCCGCUGAACUUAAGC